Long non-coding RNA from Lagopus leucura (white-tailed ptarmigan), 2547 nucleotides. RefSeq lists it as uncharacterized. The transcript is spliced from 3 exons. NCBI's taxonomy places the organism in Eukaryota, Metazoa, Chordata, Aves, Galliformes, Phasianidae. The record is from RefSeq and is a predicted model, not a curated record.
UGAUGCAUGCAAAGCAAGCAGAACAAUUCCCAUUUAUUUUGGGGAUAAGAGGCUGUUGUUCUACAGCUGGGUGCUGUAAUGUCCGACCCAUGGAUGAAAGAGCAAAUGCUUUCCUUGGAGAUCACUGGUGCUAUCGAGCUGGGAUGUCCUGUCUGCUCUCCACCCCUCCUUGGAGGCUCCCAGCAGCAGCCUCUCUGUGUACAAAGCCAGGCUGGAUGCCUCCCUGCAGCUGUUCUGAGAAGGCUGGUCCCAAGCUGGAACCCAGAGGAGCAUCUUUUCCACAGGAAGGCACAUGGCUCACGUUGGUAUGAGCGUGAGACUGUGCAAGGGAGAUUAUGGCCACUGGCAUCCCAGCCCUGCUGCUGCACAUGGGCAGCUGCAUAGCCCUGGGUCAGCAUUCCUGGUAGGACAGGGCAGGGACAGAAGGGAUGGCAUGCAGUUCCCCACAAGAAUUACAAAAACAAGCCUUCUUCAGCAAUUUUUCACUGCAGAGCCGACUUCAUCCACAUCCAUCCAAGCUGACUGCCAAAUUUCCUGAAGCCUGCAUUGUCCACCCCCAGCAGAGAUGGGACUGGGGCCAGGACCCCGGCAGAUGAAGGAUGAGAACUCACAGUUAUACUGUGCUCAUAGCUACCUGCCAUAAAUCCGGCACGAAGCAGCUGUCUCCUGUGAUUCAUGCUGGGGAUACAUCCAGCUCAAGAACUGCAAAGCCCAGGAGCACCUCUGUUUGGACAGCCACUUUCCUGGGAGGAAGAGAACAAACUGUGAAAACCUUCUAAGUGACUGCUAGUGAAACUUCUCUUCGAGCGCAUCCUGGAAUGAUUUCCCAGCUGUGCCACGAGAGGAUUUCUAAAUCAGAUUGGAAAAACACAAGGGUUGCAAAUCUGCUUAGCAUGUACGGUGCAGGGCACAGUGAAGACAUUUCAUAAACAGAGAAUUCAUUGUUCACAUUCUUCAAAAGGCUCACGGUAGCAAUGAAUAAUUUAAGAUUGAGAGAGACAAAAGAUCUGAAGCAAGAGUGCUACCACGGGCUUGGAAUAAUACCUAGUACAAGCGUUCAGGUUUUGCCCAGUGCAAUUUCAGACGUGAUAUUCAAAGAGCAGUAUGAGUACCCUUCCUUUCACACAUGUGACAAGGGAAGUUGUUUGCUCUAUCAGCUAGCAGGCCAGUGGCAAGGCUGAGAACAGAGCCUGCAUGUGUUCUGUGUCUUUUCGGACCCAUGAGUCAACAUUUUUCAACGACCAUAAAUGAGCCUAUCUCCUUUCUACUAAUGAAUUCAUGUAUGAGAGAAAGAGAGAGAAAGAGAUGAAAAAAUAUAGGGAGGAAUGACCUUUAAAACAGUCAGAUUGUAUGAAAAGCCCAUUUUCAUCUUGUUCUACCCAUUUCCUCACCACUCUCUCAGGCUGAAUGGCUCCUAGGGGAGAACGGAAGCCAAUAGCUUUCCCUCAAGCUGCAAAAUGUGAAAUGUCUGCACAGACCUACCCAGACGUCCACAGGGAAAUAACUACGGCAUACAUCCUGCAUUCAGUUAUUGCACAGGCCAGCCAUGGUGGUAAUAAAGCCCUGAAUCUGUGCAGGAAAACAGAUGGCAUCGGAUGUAAUAAAUAUGACAAAUGGCAUGGAGGCUCCUGAAGAGUCACAGCAUAGUGAAAGGCUGCCAGCAGCUCCUGGUUCAAAUAUCUAGUAUUUUUCAAGUCUGAGUUAAGCCCUCUAACUUGAGAAAGGAUAAGACACGCACAGAGGGUGAAAAGCAAAAAAACAAAUAGCCAGCAACAAGCCCUAGAGGAAAUAAAAUCAGAUCAAGACUUAAGCCACGGAAAGACAGCAAACACUGUAUCAAGCAACUCAAAUCCUAACCCAAAUCACUUCUGCUGUCUUGUGUUUGAGUUCCACAGGGUGGGAAAGGUGCCUUGGUGUAACUUAGGGAGCAGUUACUAACAGGAGCAUCAUUGCUUUGAAGUGCUCAGAGUGGUGUGCUAAUGUCAGUAGUUAUCUCUAAGGGCAGACCCUCACUACUAAGUAACUUUUCUGCAGUCCAUCACAACAGCCCCAUCUUGUGGUUUGUCAGUUUGCAAUUUUUCACUUUUCACCAUUUGUGGUGCACAAAACACAGCAAGACGGACCACCAGCACCGAGUUCUACAUUACUUGCCCUCCUUAUGGUAACUCACCACGUCUGGGCAGUGAUUGGAACCCAGCAUGCAGGAAGCCUCGCUCCAGCUGGGCUGAAUGGCUGACUCCAGUGCUAAGGAUGGGUUAAAAGAACUUGCUAAACAUGCAAACCCAAAAUUAAACAUAGACAGUGAGAGUUUUGGGGUUUGAUCAUUUAAUUAAGAUUUAUUAAACUCACUUCAGCACGAACUGAAUCAUUCUUUUUAACGCCCAUGCAAGAGACACACCCAGUGAAAUCCCAAUCUUGAACAGGUCAAGACGAAGCCAGCUGGGGCUGAAACCCUAAAAUCCAUCAUUAAAUGUGCACGGUGACAUAGCAGCAGUGAAGGGGAACCACCAGACAGCUCCACGUCCUCGUUAUCCCGGAGGGGCAGCA